RNAcentral lists this ribosomal RNA (253 nucleotides) under uncultured bacterium. RNAcentral's name for it is "partial 16S ribosomal RNA". It matches the Rfam family "Bacterial small subunit ribosomal RNA", at positions 524 to 776 of the family's 1533-position model. The record is from RNAcentral.
UACGUAGGGGGCUAGCGUUGUUCGGAUUUACUGGGCGUAAAGCGCACGUAGGCGGAUCGUUACGUCAGAGGUGAAAUCCUGGAGCUCAACUCCAGAACUGCCUUUGAUACUGAGAAUCUUGAGUAUGGGAGAGGUGAGUGGAACUGCGAGUGUAGAGGUGAAAUUCGUAGAUAUUCGCAAGAACACCAGUGGCGAAGGCGGCUCACUGGCCCAUAACUGACGCUGAGGCACGAAAGCGUGGGGAGCAAACAGG